Non-coding RNA from Lepisosteus oculatus (spotted gar), 3760 nucleotides. The record is from RefSeq and is a predicted model, not a curated record. NCBI's taxonomy places the organism in Eukaryota, Metazoa, Chordata, Actinopteri, Semionotiformes, Lepisosteidae.
UUUGAAUGUGUUCUGGCAUGAUGGAGGAUUGUGAACUCGGUCAGUGACGAUGAUGAACGAGUGUGUGAAUUGUGAACAUGAAAGUCCUGGUACGAGGUCAUCAGAGGAAGGCGUACAACAGAGGAGAGUAUUGCCAAGACAGCCAGGUUCAGCCCAAAGCAACAGCAGUGUUUAUAUUCCCUCCACACUUGGAGUUUCUGAAGGCCUCCCUGAAGCCCUGUUCUCAUCCGAGAUGACAGAAGCUAUAUUUAGCAAUGGAACGGACCAGUGGGUCUGUCCCAAUGACAGACAGCUUGCUCUCAGAGCCAAGCUGCAGACGGGUUGGUCAGUUCACACGUUCCGCACAGACAAGCAGCGCAAGAGCCAGGCCCUGAGCGAAGGCGAGAUGGAAGUCAUCCUCGGCGUCAUCCGCCGGGCUGAGCUGCUGGAGCAGGCGGAGCAGCGCAGGAUCGGGAGGCUUGUGGAGCGCCUGGAGAACAUGAGGAAGAGUGCGAUGGGGAACGGCCUGUCCCAGUGCCUGCUGUGUGGGGAGCUGCUGGGGCUGCUGGGCACCUCCUCUGUCUUCUGCCAGGACUGCCGCAAGAAAGUGUGCACAAAGUGUGGGAUAGAAACUCUGUGCAGUCAGAAGAGAUCGCUGUGGCUGUGCAAGAUCUGCAGUGAGCAGAGAGAGGUGUGGAAGCGUUCGGGGGCCUGGUUCUACAAAGCCCUGCCCAAGUUUGUGCGUCCGGUGAAGGAAGCAAGCAGGGCACUGGAAACGAACCCGCCAGUGACCGAACGGGGUGUGCUGCAGCUGAGCAGGAGCGUGCCGGCGGGCCGCACCUACAGCUGGGCGCGUAGCAAAGUGGUUUCCAGCGACAGUGACAGCGACUCUGAGCGGAGCUCCUCCAGCCUGGAGGACAAGGCCUCCACCAGCUCCAAGAGCACCCAGAGUGGCAGGCAGCCUGACGACCCAGUGUCCAGUGGAGGUGUGACCGCAACACCCACUAGCUUGACCGGCAAGUUGCUGGGCAGCCUCCUUUCCAGCCACACCCUCUCUGAGAGCCGCUCCAGCCUGGCGAGUGACCGCAGUGGGAUCCUGGGAAGCACAGACACUGGCCAAAGAGACACCUGUCCUGAAGACUAUGACACGGACUACAGCAGGCCCUCUCUGACAAUCAUUUGGGCUUGCUCUCUGACGUUCACCCUCUGACACCCUCUGAAGAUGCUGAUAGAUCUUCAAAAGAACAGAAUUUUUAGGAAUAAAAUAUUUUUUGACAGAAGAGUCUGGAUUCCACCAGGCUAGGUUCUGGCACCUUAUUUUCACCUGAGUUGAACUGCCUGCUUACUUUCCUCUGUCUUCCACACUGUACAUUUACAGUACAGUCAUAGUAAUGCUCAAAGACUGCUCAGCAUCGAAGUCUCUCUUAUACUUGAACAUGUUGACAAGUGGUCUUGUUACAUUAGUAAUGCCAAAGUGAUGGAAUUCAAAAUUCGACAUUUCUGAUUCAGUGCACCUUUACUUCCAUGAAUUCCCUGGGUGAAACAGCAGUGUUCGUUCUAUACUAAAAGUUAAAAAUGCUCAUUUCCUUUCAAGCAGUGCAAAGUCAUCUACCAGAUUCAGAUUGCAUGAACAGGAGAACUGGAAUCUCUUCCCCCAGAAACGAGACUUUGGUUGAAAGCAGUGCCCUUUCUGAAUCUAAAGAUGGGAUAAAACACAGAUUAAAGAAACUAAUCAUUUCUAGUCAGUGGCGUAAAGGUAUGAUUUCUGCCUGCACCCAUAAAACUGAAAAGACAAUGCUGCAAGGUGACAAGUAACAAAAGCAUGAUUCCCUAAUGCAUUAAUUAUGCAGUUUUUAAAAACUUUAUUCUACGGAGUAGUGGUGGGACAUACAGUAGAAUCUUGUAGUGUUUAUUCCAGCUGAAUUCAUUAUUACAGAAAAGAGACAAUUAUUUUGUGAAGUGAACCAGCUAAGCAUUGUUUUAAGGGUUUCUUCAGAUGGAUUUGUUUUUUAAAAAAGUUGGAACGGCCAAUUAUUUUCCACCUGUCUGGUUUGCUAUCACCCAUUGUAUAAGGCUUAGCUUUACAGCUGAACCUCCUAGUCCUCAUGGGGAGAAUGAGAUCCCAUGGACGUGCUGCUCUGACACACCCACAUUUCAUUUGACCCCCUGCAAGUGCCUUAAGGAGAAGUCGCUAGCACCUGGAGGAACAGCACAUCUCUUACUAACUGCUCAGCAAGCUGGCAGGUGCCAGGUACAGUAGGUUCCAGCAGUUUUCUGUCUCACCACAAGCCAGGAGGAAGUCUGGCUGACUAAAUCUCGUCCAGUCCUGGAGCAACCUAGCUGAUCAAGCCACACUUAGCAGAGUGGGCUGCUCUGAUCUGGCAAUCAUUUCAAGACAAGGGUAUUCUGACCACAUCAAGUCUUUGCAAACCUGAUGUGAACUUGAUUGCAAACUAGGCCGGUGGGAUUUGAAUCUCUUGAUUUUCAACAGCAAAUCAGGGAUGUGGGACAAACCAGAUAUCUGCAUGUUUGCUGUGAUGUUAGUGAGUGGUAUACCACUCCUUCAGUCACUGGUUGGUCUUCUAUAAGGCACUGUAAAGCUUGCAGUGAUGCAAGAUGGGCAAAAUGAAAGGCAAGGCUUAGGCUUGGACCUGUGAUAUCUGGACUGCUGGGCCUAGCCUACACUCUGAAAGAUUACCUUCACUGGUUGAGCCAUUUGGGAACCCAAAUGAAAAUGUAAAAUCCAACCAAGAAGACAUUUGUCCUGUUGCAGUAGUGCUCUAUCAGAGACUUAGCUGCUGGCCAAGUUGUGUUAUUCCAGUGGUACUGAAUGACCACUAAUACUAUGUUUGAGCCUAUGUCAGAACUUGGCUCUCAUUGAUCACCAGUCCUCUUCCUUUACUUUCUGGGAUAGAGGAGACGCCGAAAUUCCAAAUAUAAACAGUAAGAAAAGAGAGGUGUUUUGGAAAUCUAAAAAUUAACAACUUAAUCUUAAAUAAAUGUGUUGCUUUUUAGUUUGCUUUAAUUCUGUGCAGUAGCUGAACUAUCUUUGUGCUUUUUUAGAAAUGUAUAUCUCGAAUGUUCCUGUACUGCAUUAUAUUUCAAGCCUGCAUCUUUUGAAAGUCAGCGUGACACACUGUUUGCAUUUUGUUUUCCAACUGUUUCAAUGCUCACUCUCCUCCAGAUCAUUCCAUUAAUCAAACAUCUAUCAAAGUGCAAUUUGAAAAGCCUCAGGCUGUGUGGGAUGAAUUGCUUUAUGUGCCCAGUACAAAAGGCAGCAUUAAACAAAGGUAUCUAAAGGCAUGGUGUGCAAAAACAGUAGCCUGGCCUUGCACUCCUGUACAGAACAAUAAAGCAGUUGGAUUGUUAAUGUCCCACGUUUCUGCAUUUAUUCUCUCAGAGGCUCAACGUGUUUCCUGGAAACUCGACAGUCCUCUACCACAUCUAUUGAUCAAGGAUUUCAAAACAAUAUACAAGCUUUGAAGGCGGAAUGGACAUUUUUUUUUGCUGCAAAGUAAAACUUCUAGAACUAUUUUGCACUUGUUCUCAAGGAUUUCAAGAUCUUCAGAACCAGUAACAGAUAAAACAGAAGAACUGGAACACAAGAAGCUAGGUCCAGUUACCCCAGCAUAUCAUUUCCAACACUCUGCAUGUUGUCUGAUGCACUAGAGUUUGAUACUAUUGGUGAAACAUUAUGCAGCAUGGGAUCAACUCUCUAUAAAAAUGAAAAAGUAAAAUCAGCCUUUUCUCUCUUGUACCUGUCCCUUUGAGAUACGUGCUA